UAGCUGUAUUUUCUGACGUUUUCAAAGUUCAAGGACAAUGCUUAAAGUUGUUCCCCAGGUUUUAUGAAACUUUAAGUUUAACUUUAAGUUUAAUUUCCAGGGUUUUUUUACAUUUAUGGUUAAUUAAUAUUAUUAUUAUUAUUGUCAUUUUAAGGUUGCCGGAAAUGUAGUAGGCAAAAAGUUUUCAAAUAUGACUCCAUAACAGGACGAAGGAUAAAUGAGGGGCAAGAGGAAGUAAGGGUGAAAUGGUUACCUUGCUCUGCAUGUGGAAAAAUCUGGGAGGAGACAUGGGAGCCGGCCUGCCAGUU
Molecule: long non-coding RNA, 308 nt
Organism: Micropterus salmoides (largemouth bass)
Lineage: Eukaryota; Metazoa; Chordata; Actinopteri; Centrarchiformes; Centrarchidae
Exons: 3
Source: RefSeq, a predicted model, not a curated record